UACACUCCUGCGGGAGGCAGCAGUGGGGAAUAUUGGACAAUGGGCGCAAGCCUGAUCCAGCCAUGCCGCGUGAGUGAUGAAGGCCCUAGGGUUGUAAAGCUCUUUCACCGGUGAAGAUAAUGACGGUAACCGGAGAAGAAGCCCCGGCUAACUUCGUGCCAGCAGCCGCGGUAAUACGAAGGGGGCUAGCGUUGUUCGGAUUUACUGGGCGUAAAGCGCACGUAGGCGGACUAUUAAGUCAGGGGUGAAAUCCCGGGGCUCAACCCCGGAACUGCCUUUGAUACUGGUAGUCUUGAGUUCGAGAGAGGUGAGUGGAAUUCCGAGUGUAGAGGUGAAAUUCGUAGAUAUUCGGAGGAACACCAGUGGUGAAGGCGGCUCACUGGCUCGAUACUGACGCUGAGGUGCGAAAGCGUGGGGAGCAAACAGGAUUAGAUACCCUUGUAGUCCCAUGAU
This 453-nucleotide ribosomal RNA is filed under the name uncultured organism. RNAcentral's name for it is "partial 16S ribosomal RNA". It matches the Rfam family "Bacterial small subunit ribosomal RNA", at positions 332 to 801 of the family's 1533-position model. The record is from RNAcentral.